RNAcentral lists this long non-coding RNA (288 nucleotides) under Gossypium barbadense (sea-island cotton). Its description in RNAcentral is "long non-coding RNA (GBAR_LNC021869)". Lineage: Eukaryota; Viridiplantae; Streptophyta; Magnoliopsida; Malvales; Malvaceae. The record is from RNAcentral.
AAAGUCUUUCUUUCUAGUUGAAGUAAUAUUUGAAGUUUGAUUCUACAAGUUUGUGAGAUCGAAUUGCUUCUAAUCUUUCUUUGCUCUUUAGUAUUAAUUUGCUUGUCUUCUAGUUUAAUUACAAUUGUUUAGGUUUGUUAAAUAUGUACCCAAUAUUUGAUAGCUUAGAAUAAUUGUGUUAUCAAUUAGAUAAUUAGUCAUUCAAUUAAUUUAUAAUAUUUGUGACAACUACAUGAUUAUUUGUGUAGUGUGGACAUGUGAUCUAACUUAAAUAAACCUUGAUUGUGC